RNAcentral lists this long non-coding RNA (203 nucleotides) under Vitis vinifera (wine grape). RNAcentral describes it as "long non-coding RNA (VVIN_LNC003155)". Lineage: Eukaryota; Viridiplantae; Streptophyta; Magnoliopsida; Vitales; Vitaceae. The record is from RNAcentral.
UUAGUCUCAAUCAUGUUUGCAUUCAAAUUAACCACAACCACAAUUUCACUUUUCUUCUUCUUCUCUAGCCAAUUUUUAAACUUGAAGCAAUCAACCUGCUUGUGGCCAAUCUUGAGGCAAAAGUUGCAAUUUCCCUUGAAUCUCUCAUUCUUUGUAGCAUUAGAAGAAGCAGAUGCAUUAGAGGUUCCUUGACUCGAAUUCCC